GAGGGUAUAGCUCAGUGGUAGAGCACAUGCUUAGCACACUUGAGGUCCAGGGCUCAAUCCCCAGUACCUCCG
Molecule: transfer RNA, 72 nt
Filed under: Camelus bactrianus (Bactrian camel)
Lineage: Eukaryota; Metazoa; Chordata; Mammalia; Artiodactyla; Camelidae
Also listed under: 2 other names
Rfam family: tRNA
About the family: Transfer RNA (tRNA) molecules are approximately 80 nucleotides in length. Their secondary structure includes four short double-helical elements and three loops (D, anti-codon, and T loops). Further hydrogen bonds mediate the characteristic L-shaped molecular structure. tRNAs have two regions of fundamental functional importance: the anti-codon, which is responsible for specific mRNA codon recognition, and the 3' end, to which the tRNAs corresponding amino acid is attached (by aminoacyl-tRNA synthetases). tRNAs cope with the degeneracy of the genetic code in two manners: having more than one tRNA (with a specific anti-codon) for a particular amino acid; and 'wobble' base-pairing, i.e. permitting non-standard base-pairing at the 3rd anti-codon position.
Source: Rfam by way of RNAcentral